UUGCUAACCUGGUAGAUGGAAACAUACUGACACCAACAUAUGGGUCUAAUUUGGGAACCAAUAUACUGAAACAAGUGACGCCACCAGGUGAGCGGGGCCCGGUAAGAGCUCAGCAACAGGUGAGUGCUGCUGGUCUCUCUUGAGCUCAUGUUUUAAUCCAGUAUUUGUUUACAGUUUGGCGAAUUGGCACAAUUAAAAAAUCAUGCCGAAUUAUCUAUUAUCAGUUCGUGUUUGCAGUGUGUUAAUGCAUGUAGGGACAGCUGUCACUAAAUUACUGUGAUACUGUAGAAAACUUGAAAACGUGAUGAUUCUCAGGCAAAUUCUGAAGCGUCUUUUUUCCUCUGAUUUCUAAGCGGAUUUCUUUGUUCUUCCAAAAAAAAAAAAAAAAAACACAAAAAACAACGUUUUUCACAAUAUCUGUGUUACCAGGAGGAGUUUUGAACAAAUACCUUCAAAGUUAAAGCUUAUCGUUGUUGAAAAUAUGAUUAUUUAGGCCUAGGUAUUUGCGAGAGUUUGGCGGCAACUCCAGGAAUUAACUGGUCCCAGCCAGCUGUUUGACGUCAACUCCUGAGUUACCUGAUUUCCUGCCUGGAUUUCCUCCGAUGUCCUCAUCCCGCACGAUCUGCUGUACGUCAACAUCAAUCAAGGCCAGACGGUCAGAAGUCGACAAGCUCCUCAAUCGGAGAUGAGAGAGAGCAAUCAUAGACCCGCGGCUCAUCCUGCACCUUUCGCUGCUGUUUUGCAUCCAGAUGGAAAAACACGUUUCU
Seriola aureovittata is the source of this 767-nucleotide long non-coding RNA. RefSeq lists it as uncharacterized. The record is from RefSeq and is a predicted model, not a curated record. Lineage: Eukaryota; Metazoa; Chordata; Actinopteri; Carangiformes; Carangidae. The transcript is spliced from 3 exons.